Molecule: microRNA precursor, 97 nt
Filed under: Mus spretus (western wild mouse)
Lineage: Eukaryota; Metazoa; Chordata; Mammalia; Rodentia; Muridae
Description: predicted gene, 55863 (ENSMSPG00010043862.1)
Source: RNAcentral
UAGAGUCAGGCAGAUCUCUAUGAGUUCGAGGCCAGCCUGGUCUACAGAGUGAGUUCCAGGACAGCCAGGGCUACACAGAGAAACCCUGUCUCAAGAA